Molecule: ribosomal RNA, 497 nt
Filed under: uncultured bacterium
Lineage: Bacteria
Description: partial 16S ribosomal RNA
Rfam family: Bacterial small subunit ribosomal RNA
Source: RNAcentral
GAUGAACGCUGGCGGCGUGCCUAAUACAUGCAAGUCGAGCGAACAGACGAGGAGCUUGCUCCUCUGACGUUAGCGGCGGACGGGUGGGUAACACGUGGAUAACCUACCUAUAAGACUGGGAUAACUUCGGGAAACCGGAGCUAAUACCGGAUAAUAUAUUGAACCGCAUGGUUCAAUAGUGAAAGACGGUUUUGCUGUCACUUAUAGAUGGAUCCGCGCCGCAUUAGCUAGUUGGUAAGGUAACGGCUUACCAAGGCAACGAUGCGUAGCCGACCUGAGAGGGUGAUCGGCCACACUGGAACUGAGACACGGUCCAGACUCCUACGGGAGGCAGCAGUAGGGAAUCUUCCGCAAUGGGCGAAAGCCUGACGGAGCAACGCCGCGUGAGUGAUGAAGGUCUUCGGAGCGUAAAACUCUGUUAUUAGGGAAGAACAAAUGUGUAAGUAACUAUGCACGUCUUGACGGUACCUAAUCAGAGAGCCACGGCUAACUACGUG